This is a small nucleolar RNA of Cygnus atratus (black swan), 71 nucleotides long. RefSeq annotates it as small nucleolar RNA R160. NCBI's taxonomy places the organism in Eukaryota, Metazoa, Chordata, Aves, Anseriformes, Anatidae. The transcript has a single exon. The record is from RefSeq and is a predicted model, not a curated record.
AGCAAAUGAAGUUGCAUCUAUAACUAAAUUAGAAAUAAAUUUGUCAUGCACUUCAAAGUUUUCUGAUUGUU